This 229-nucleotide long non-coding RNA is filed under the name Phoenix dactylifera (date palm). RNAcentral's name for it is "long non-coding RNA (PDAC_LNC014122)". The record is from RNAcentral. Lineage: Eukaryota; Viridiplantae; Streptophyta; Magnoliopsida; Arecales; Arecaceae.
CGAGCCCGCACCGGCGACGCUCACGGCCGUACACGGGCAAGUCCCCUCCUCCUCUCCUUUUUCUCUCUCUCCUUGGUUCCGAUCGGAAGCCCUAGCCAUUUCGGCCGAUCCUCCGGUCUUCUUCUUCUCCUCCGGCCGGAUCUACGGCCUCUUCCUCCUCUCUCUUUCUUUCUUUCUUUCUUUUCUUUGGUCCUUCCCUCCGGCACCACCGCCUCUUGCCGGAGAGGAG